Orbicella faveolata is the source of this 337-nucleotide long non-coding RNA. Lineage: Eukaryota; Metazoa; Cnidaria; Anthozoa; Scleractinia; Merulinidae. The record is from RefSeq and is a predicted model, not a curated record.
UCUUGUACGAAGGAGAAAGACACUUUACCUGUGCUUCGACUUUCUUUGGAGAGAAGUGGUGUGCGACAACAUAUAACUAUGAUGAGGAUGAAGAAUGGGGAGAGUGCUUAGAGGAAGACUUAGAAGCCAAGAAGUAAGAGACAAGGAAAGAGCGUCCACAGUUCACACCAGCACAAAAUUGACUUCUUAGCACUUACAGCUCAAGCAAGGAAAACCACUUUCUAGUUCUCGUUUUGCACCUAUCUAUGUCAUUAGAGUCUUUAAAUAGGAGGUUAGCAUAUGUAGUUUUUACAUGCAGGAAAUCAUCAAAUAAACACGUUCGUAUUCUAGUGCUGAA